AGCGUACACGGUGGAUGCCCUGGCAGUCAGAGGCGAUGAAGGACGUGCUAAUCUGCGAUAAGCGUCGGUAAGGUGAUAUGAACCGUUAUAACCGGCGAUUUCCGAAUGGGGAAACCCAGUGUGAUUCGUCACACUAUCAUUAACUGAAUCCAUAGGUUAAUGAGGCGAACCGGGGGAACUGAAACAUCUAAGUACCCCGAGGAAAAGAAAUCAACCGAGAUUCCCCCAGUAGCGGCGAGCGAACGGGGAGCAGCCCAGAGCCUGAAUCAGUGUGUGUGUUAGUGGAAGCGUCUGGAAAGGCGCGCGAUACAGGGUGACAGCCCCGUACACAAAAAUGCACAUGCUGUGAGCUCGAUGAGUAGGGCGGGACACGUGGUAUCCUGUCUGAAUAUGGGGGGACCAUCCUCCAAGGCUAAAUACUCCUGACUGACCGAUAGUGAACCAGUACCGUGAGGGAAAGGCGAAAAGAACCCCGGCGAGGGGAGUGAAAAAGAACCUGAAACCGUGUACGUACAAGCAGUGGGAGCACAGAGCAAUCUGUGUGACUGCGUACCUUUUGUAUAAUGGGUCAGCGACUUAUAUUCUGUAGCAAGGUUAACCGAAUAGGGGAGCCGAAGGGAAACCGAGUCUUAACUGGGCGUUAAGUUGCAGGGUAUAGACCCGAAACCCGGUGAUCUAGCCAUGGGCAGGUUGAAGGUUGGGUAACACUAACUGGAGGACCGAACCGACUAAUGUUGAAAAAUUAGCGGAUGACUUGUGGCUGGGGGUGAAAGGCCAAUCAAACCGGGAGAUAGCUGGUUCUCCCCGAAAGCUAUUUAGGUAGCGCCUCGUGAAUUCAUCUCCGGGGGUAGAGCACUGUUUCGGCAAGGGGGUCAUCCCGACUUACCAACCCGAUGCAAACUGCGAAUACCGGAGAAUGUUAUCACGGGAGACACACGGCGGGUGCUAACGUCCGUCGUGAAGAGGGAAACAACCCAGACCGCCAGCUAAGGUCCCAAAGUCAUGGUUAAGUGGGAAACGAUGUGGGAAGGCCCAGACAGCCAGGAUGUUGGCUUAGAAGCAGCCAUCAUUUAAAGAAAGCGUAAUAGCUCACUGGUCGAGUCGGCCUGCGCGGAAGAUGUAACGGGGCUAAACCAUGCACCGAAGCUGCGGCAGCGACGCUUAUGCGUUGUUGGGUAGGGGAGCGUUCUGUAAGCCUGUGAAGGUGUACUGUGAGGUAUGCUGGAGGUAUCAGAAGUGCGAAUGCUGACAUAAGUAACGAUAAAGCGGGUGAAAAGCCCGCUCGCCGGAAGACCAAGGGUUCCUGUCCAACGUUAAUCGGGGCAGGGUGAGUCGACCCCUAAGGCGAGGCCGAAAGGCGUAGUCGAUGGGAAACAGGUUAAUAUUCCUGUACUUGGUGUUACUGCGAAGGGGGGACGGAGAAGGCUAUGUUGGCCGGGCGACGGUUGUCCCGGUUUAAGCGUGUAGGCUGGUUUUCCAGGCAAAUCCGGAAAAUCAAGGCUGAGGCGUGAUGACGAGGCACUACGGUGCUGAAGCAACAAAUGCCCUGCUUCCAGGAAAAGCCUCUAAGCAUCAGGUAACAUCAAAUCGUACCCCAAACCGACACAGGUGGUCAGGUAGAGAAUACCAAGGCGCUUGAGAGAACUCGGGUGAAGGAACUAGGCAAAAUGGUGCCGUAACUUCGGGAGAAGGCACGCUGAUAUGUAGGUGAAGCGACUUGCUCGUGGAGCUGAAAUCAGUCGAAGAUACCAGCUGGCUGCAACUGUUUAUUAAAAACACAGCACUGUGCAAACACGAAAGUGGACGUAUACGGUGUGACGCCUGCCCGGUGCCGGAAGGUUAAUUGAUGGGGUUAGCGCAAGCGAAGCUCUUGAUCGAAGCCCCGGUAAACGGCGGCCGUAACUAUAACGGUCCUAAGGUAGCGAAAUUCCUUGUCGGGUAAGUUCCGACCUGCACGAAUGGCGUAAUGAUGGCCAGGCUGUCUCCACCCGAGACUCAGUGAAAUUGAACUCGCUGUGAAGAUGCAGUGUACCCGCGGCAAGACGGAAAGACCCCGUGAACCUUUACUAUAGCUUGACACUGAACAUUGAGCCUUGAUGUGUAGGAUAGGUGGGAGGCUUUGAAGUGUGGACGCCAGUCUGCAUGGAGCCGACCUUGAAAUACCACCCUUUAAUGUUUGAUGUUCUAACGUGGACCCGUAAUCCGGGUUGCGGACAGUGUCUGGUGGGUAGUUUGACUGGGGCGGUCUCCUCCUAAAGAGUAACGGAGGAGCACGAAGGUUGGCUAAUCCUGGUCGGACAUCAGGAGGUUAGUGCAAUGGCAUAAGCCAGCUUGACUGCGAGCGUGACGGCGCGAGCAGGUGCGAAAGCAGGUCAUAGUGAUCCGGUGGUUCUGAAUGGAAGGGCCAUCGCUCAACGGAUAAAAGGUACUCCGGGGAUAACAGGCUGAUACCGCCCAAGAGUUCAUAUCGACGGCGGUGUUUGGCACCUCGAUGUCGGCUCAUCACAUCCUGGGGCUGAAGUAGGUCCCAAGGGUAUGGCUGUUCGCCAUUUAAAGUGGUACGCGAGCUGGGUUUAGAACGUCGUGAGACAGUUCGGUCCCUAUCUGCCGUGGGCGCUGGAGAACUGAGGGGGGCUGCUCCUAGUACGAGAGGACCGGAGUGGACGCAUCACUGGUGUUCGGGUUGUCAUGCCAAUGGCACUGCCCGGUAGCUAAAUGCGGAAGAGAUAAGUGCUGAAAGCAUCUAAGCACGAAACUUGCCCCGAGAUGAGUUCUCCCUGACUCCUUGA
RNAcentral lists this ribosomal RNA (2789 nucleotides) under Escherichia coli. RNAcentral's name for it is "bacterial LSU rRNA". It matches the Rfam family "Bacterial large subunit ribosomal RNA". The record is from RNAcentral. Lineage: Bacteria; Pseudomonadati; Pseudomonadota; Gammaproteobacteria; Enterobacterales; Enterobacteriaceae.